This 23-nucleotide microRNA is filed under the name Heligmosomoides polygyrus. RNAcentral's name for it is "hpo-miR-10039-3p". The record is from miRBase by way of RNAcentral. Lineage: Eukaryota; Metazoa; Nematoda; Chromadorea; Rhabditida; Heligmosomidae.
UGGUAUUACUAACCUAAAGCUGA